UACGUAGGUGGCAAGCGUUGUCCGGAAUUAUUGGGCGUAAAGCGCACGCAGGCGGUCCUUUAAGUCUGAUGUGAAAGCCCACGGCUCAACCGUGGAGGGUCAUUGGAAACUGGAGGACUUGAGUGCAGAAGAGAAGAGUGGAAUUCCACGUGUAGCGGUGAAAUGCGUAGAGAUGUGGAGGAACACCAGUGGCGAAGGCGACUCUUUGGUCUGUAACUGACGCUGAGGCGCGAAAGCGUGGGGAGCAAACAGG
Molecule: ribosomal RNA, 253 nt
Filed under: uncultured bacterium
Lineage: Bacteria
Description: partial 16S ribosomal RNA
Rfam family: Bacterial small subunit ribosomal RNA
Source: RNAcentral